UACUUGAAUUAAAGAAAUUUAAUCAAAUUGAAGAAUUUAGUCAAAUUAACGUUUUUUUUCUCGGUGUAUUUACAACUGAAAUUUUAAAGACUUAGUGACUCUGUUGAAAGUCGGAAAAAGAAUUAUACACGAGACGCCCGAAGAAAGUGCAUCGAUAAUGACGACGUAAAGGAACGGAAACGUUUGGAGGGAAUGAGCGCGAUGUCCGAACAGAAUGGAACAUACGAAGAAGUUUGGCUCCGCGGGGACAAGUGAAAGCCACGUGGGAGUUGACGGCCAGGGGCGAGCAGCGUCGAUUACGAUUUCACAGGCGGCACGUGGUUCAUAAUCGGAGCGGAGAAAACGCCGCAGGUGGAUAACACGUAGACGUUGCUCGUGACGUAACAGAGCGAACGUUUAUGCACAUCGUGCACAACGACGACGACGUCGGCGGCGGUACCUUUCCCAAUUUUCCAAUUUCUUCUCACGGAAGCGUCCAAUUCGCCGCAUGAUUCAGUUGCACGAAACGAAAAACGACGUGCCGCCGGGCGUUGGUUGGUCGGCCCCGUUAUUCUCUCGGCCUCGUAAAAGUGGCGCAUUUGAAUGUCCAGCAACACCUUAGGGCCGUCAAGAGUCGUGCGAGGUAAUAUUUCACCCGCGCAGAAGGAGAGAUAAAGAGAGAGAGAGAGAGAGAGAAAGAAAGGUGAAUUUGCAGUGUUUGUAAUUUCUAUUAAACUAGAGAGAGAGUUGGUGUAAUACUGUUAUCUGUAGCGAUCUGCUCGCUUUCUUAAUAUAAACAAGCCUCUAUAUAA
Molecule: long non-coding RNA, 791 nt
Organism: Monomorium pharaonis (pharaoh ant)
Lineage: Eukaryota; Metazoa; Arthropoda; Insecta; Hymenoptera; Formicidae
Exons: 2
Source: RefSeq, a predicted model, not a curated record